UUCAUGGAUAGCUCAGCUGGUAAGAGCAUGGUGCUGAUAACACCAAGGUUGCAGGUUCGAUCCCCAUAAGGGAAA
This 75-nucleotide transfer RNA is filed under the name Podarcis lilfordi (Lilford's wall lizard). RNAcentral describes it as "tRNA.Ile". The stretch from base 9 to 67 matches the Rfam family "tRNA", at positions 8 to 63 of the family's 71-position model. Rfam says of the family: Transfer RNA (tRNA) molecules are approximately 80 nucleotides in length. Their secondary structure includes four short double-helical elements and three loops (D, anti-codon, and T loops). Further hydrogen bonds mediate the characteristic L-shaped molecular structure. tRNAs have two regions of fundamental functional importance: the anti-codon, which is responsible for specific mRNA codon recognition, and the 3' end, to which the tRNAs corresponding amino acid is attached (by aminoacyl-tRNA synthetases). tRNAs cope with the degeneracy of the genetic code in two manners: having more than one tRNA (with a specific anti-codon) for a particular amino acid; and 'wobble' base-pairing, i.e. permitting non-standard base-pairing at the 3rd anti-codon position. The record is from RNAcentral. Lineage: Eukaryota; Metazoa; Chordata; Lepidosauria; Squamata; Lacertidae.